RNAcentral lists this long non-coding RNA (561 nucleotides) under Brassica napus (rape). RNAcentral's name for it is "long non-coding RNA (BNAP_LNC004205)". The record is from RNAcentral. Lineage: Eukaryota; Viridiplantae; Streptophyta; Magnoliopsida; Brassicales; Brassicaceae.
AAUCUUUUAGAGAGAGAGACGGUUCGUUAUCAAUCGUAACUUCAGUCGGCGUUACGACUCCCGUGUGAAUGGGCUUUUUCUCCGGAAAAGAUGGCUCCUCCAGCGUCGCUUGUCCGGCUUUGGUCUCCGGCGUCAGACCUUCUCUUUCGGGGUUGACAGCUGGCUCCUCGCUGGUUUAUCCGGCUUUUAUAUUUCUUUUAUCGUUUUCUGUAUCUGUUGAAUCUGAUCGAUUGCAUGUGGCUGAAUUUUUUUCUUCCUUCAAGCGAUGGUGGUUCUCGCUCUAAUUCCUGCUUGCAUCGUUAUUGGUUGAAAUCAUCUGUGCAUCAUGUUCCGGUUGGUUUCCGGUGGCUGCCGAUUGAUUUCCGGCGACGACCUUCAAGUCAGUGAACGGAGUUGGUGUUUUCCUUUCUUGAAGCGUGUCUCCUCUUCGUACACGUGGUGUCGAGUCGGAUAGUUUCCGAGUUCUCUAUUGGGCUGUUGUCUGGCCUUAUGUUGGCCCUCUUAUGUAAUUAUUGUGUAGCCUUCGGGCUUUAAGUUUAGAUGGGCAUGAUGGACCUUGUC